Molecule: ribosomal RNA, 690 nt
Filed under: Glomus sp.
Lineage: Eukaryota; Fungi; Glomeromycota; Glomeromycetes; Glomerales; Glomeraceae
Description: SSU rRNA
Rfam family: Eukaryotic small subunit ribosomal RNA
Source: RNAcentral
GGAGAGGGAGCCUGAGAAACGGCUACCACAUCCAAGGAUGGCAGCAGGCGCGCAAAUUACCCAAUCCCGACACGGGGAGGUAGUGACAAUAAAUAACAAUACGGGGUUCUUUAGGAUUUCGUAAUUGGAAUGAGUACAAUUUAAAUCUCUUAACGAGGAACAAUUGGAGGGCAAGUCUGGUGCCAGCAGCCGCGGUAAUUCCAGCUCCAAUAGCGUAUAUUAAAGUUGUUGCAGUUAAAAAGCUCGUAGUUGAAUUUCGGGGUCAGUAGGUCGGUCGGGCCUCUGGUAUGUACUGGCCCUACUGAUUCCUCCUUCUUGAAGAACCGUAAUGCCAUUAAUUUGGUGUUGCGGGGAAACAGGACUGUUACUUUGAAAAAAUUAGAGUGUUUAAAGCAGGCAAUCGCUUGAAUACAUUAGCAUGGAAUAAUGAAAUAGGACGUUCGAUCCUAUUUUGUUGGUUUCUAGGAUUGACGUAAUGAUUAAUAGGGAUAGUUGGGGGCAUUAGUAUUCAAUUGUCAGAGGUGAAAUUCUUGGAUUUAUUGAAGACUAACUACUGCGAAAGCAUUUGCCAAGGAUGUUUUCAUUAAUCAAGAACGAAAGUUAGGGGAUCGAAGACGAUCAGAUACCGUCGUAGUCUUAACCAUAAACUAUGCCGACUAGGGAUCGGAUGAUGUUAAUUUUUUAAUGACU